CAGCCGCCGCGGUAAUACGUAGGUCCCGAGCGUUGUCCGGAUUUAUUGGGCGUAAAGCGAGCGCAGGCGGUUAGAUAAGUCUGAAGUUAAAGGCUGUGGCUUAACCAUAGUACGCUUUGGAAACUGUUUAACUUGAGUGCAAGAGGGGAGAGUGGAAUUCCAUGUGUAGCGGUGAAAUGCGUAGAUAUAUGGAGGAACACCGGUGGCGAAAGCGGCUCUCAGGCUUGUAACUGACGCUGAGGCUCGAAAGCGUGGGGAGCAAACAGGAUUAGAUACCCCAGUAGUCCCUGUCUCUUAUACA
RNAcentral lists this ribosomal RNA (301 nucleotides) under uncultured bacterium. RNAcentral's name for it is "partial 16S ribosomal RNA". It matches the Rfam family "Bacterial small subunit ribosomal RNA", at positions 509 to 808 of the family's 1533-position model. The record is from RNAcentral.